UACGUAGGGGGCGAGCGUUGUCCGGAAUUACUGGGCGUAAAGCGCACGUAGGCGGUCCGUCAAGUUCGGUGUGAAAUCUCCAGGCUCAACUUGGAGGGGUCGUCGAAGACUGGCGGACUAGGGUCUGGCAGAGGCAGGUAGAAUUCCCGGUGGAGCGGUGAAAUGCGUAGAGAUCGGGAGGAAUACCAGUGGCGAAGGCGGCCUGCUGGGCCACGACCGACACUGAGGUGCGAAAGCGUGGGGAGCGAACCGG
RNAcentral lists this ribosomal RNA (253 nucleotides) under uncultured bacterium. Its description in RNAcentral is "partial 16S ribosomal RNA". It matches the Rfam family "Bacterial small subunit ribosomal RNA", at positions 524 to 776 of the family's 1533-position model. The record is from RNAcentral.